Molecule: ribosomal RNA, 433 nt
Filed under: uncultured bacterium
Lineage: Bacteria
Description: partial 16S ribosomal RNA
Rfam family: Bacterial small subunit ribosomal RNA
Source: RNAcentral
AACGAACGCUGGCGGCAUGCCUAACACAUGCAAGUCGAACGAGACCUUCGGGUCUAGUGGCGCACGGGUGCGUAACGCGUGGGAACCUGCCCUUAGGUUCGGAAUAACUCCCCGAAAGGGGUGCUAAUACCGGAUAAUGUCUUCGGACCAAAGAUUUAUCGCCUUUGGAUGGGCCCGCGUUGGAUUAGCUAGUUGGUAGGGUAAAAGCCUACCAAGGCGACGAUCCAUAGCUGGUCUGAGAGGAUGAUCAGCCACACUGGGACUGGGACACGGCCCAGACUCCUACGGGAGGCAGGAGUGGGGAAUAUUGGACCAUGGGCGAAAGGCUGAUCCCGCCAUGCCGCGUGAGGGAUGAAGGCCUUAGGGUUGUAAAGCUCUUUUAACCGGGAUGAUAAUGACAGUACCGGGAGAAUAAGCUCCGGCUAACUCCGUG